UACGGGGGAUGCAAGCGUUAUCCGGAAUUAUUGGGCGUAAAGCGUCCGCAGGUGGUUUGUCAAGUCUGCUGUUAAAGCGUGGAGCUUAACUCCAUAUCGGCGGUGGAAACUGAUGAACUAGAGGGUGGUAGGGGUCACGGGAAUUCCCAGUGUUGCGGUGAAAUGCGUAGAUAUUGGGAAGAACACCAGCGGCGAAAGCGCGUGAUUGUGCCAUUACUGACACUCAUGGACGAAAGCUAGGGGAGCGAAAGGG
Molecule: ribosomal RNA, 253 nt
Filed under: uncultured bacterium
Lineage: Bacteria
Description: partial 16S ribosomal RNA
Rfam family: Bacterial small subunit ribosomal RNA
Source: RNAcentral